GAUGAAAUUGUUUGUAACAAAAUUGAUGAAUUUGAAAAAUUAGUGCAAUUUGAAAAAAAUGGUUACACGGAAAAUAAUAACAGUAAAAUAAAUGAAAAGUACAAUUUAUAUAAAGAGUUUUUAGUAUAUAAAUUUAAUAACUUAUUUUACAACACCGUUAAAUUAAUAAAUUAUAAUUUUGUUUUUAAUCAGUUUACAAAACGUUUGCAUAGUAACGUAGAGACUAAUAAAGUAAAGACUAGUAAAAUAGAGGCUAAUAAAGUAAAGACUAGUAAAGUAGAAGCUAAUAAAGUAAAGACUAGUAAAGUAGAAGCUAAUAAAGUAGAGGCUAAUAAAGUAAAGACUAGUAAAGUAGAGGCUAAUAAAGUAAAGACUACUAAAGUAGAGACUAAUAAAGUAAAGACUAAUAAUUUUCAUAAUAAGUUAAUAAGUUAUAAAAAUAAAAUUUUUCAAUUAAAUUUUUUAGAAAAAUCUGUUAUUAUUAAAUUUUUUAUAAAUAUAUAUGCCUGUAUUGAUAAAAAAUAUAUUUUUAAACUGUGUUUGGAUUUGUGUAAUCCAUAUAUAUGGAAUUGUAUACAUUAUGAUUACUUACGUACAUUUCUUUUAAAAAAAAAUGAAGAAGCAAAAAUGCUUUAUCAUAAUAUUACAAGUAUUAUGAAAAAAAAAUAUUUAAAUGAUAAAAUUUAUGACUCCAUAAAUGUGUAUACUUGCAAUUGUAAUAAUAAUAUAACAGACCGCAAUUUUUUACAAAAUAAUAGUUUACAUAAUCAGAACAUACAUAAAAAUAAAAUUCAGAAUGAAGAAAAUUCAGAAGAAUAUGAUGAAAAUAUUAUUAUGUUUAUAAAUAAGAAUAAUUUUUUUUAUAAUUUAAUAAAUUACUUUUUAAUAGUUUUAAAUAUGGUUGAGCAAGAAUAUGAAGAAGAAGAAAAUGAUGAUGAAGUAUUAAGCUGUUCUUCUUCUUCAUCUUCAUGUUCGACAAGUGAUAAUGAAACCAACGACAAAUUGAAAUUAGAUCAAUUUGAAAAAUAUAUCAACACAUAUAGUAAUAGAAAAAAUAAUAGUUUAUUGGAAGUAUUAGAUAUGAAUAAUGGGGAGGUAAGCAAAGAAUAUCUUUUAGCGACUAAUGAAAAUGAUAAAGGUGUGGUUAAGUUGUAUGACAACGAUGGUAACGACAACGAUGGUAACGACAACGAUGGUAAUGACAACGAUGGUAAUGACCACAAUGGUAAUAAUGACACUUAUCCUUUAAAUCACAAAAGCAAUGGAGUUAUCACUACUGACGAAACUGAUCUAGAUUUAAUAACUUAUUUAAAAAAUGUUUCUAACAUUGAUAAAAAGGAUAAGUAUGUAAAACAUGACACAUUUAGUAGUAUUAAUUAUUCUAAAGAGAUAGAAGAAAAUGAUUUGAUCGAAAGUUAUUUAAAAUAUGCAUCAAGUGAUGAUGAAACAAAUAAACUAUAUGUAGAUAAUAACAGUAGUGCACAUAAUAAUAUCAAUAAUAGUAAAAAAAACGAAAUUUUAGAAAUGUUUUUAAAAUAUGAAAGUAAAAUUAAACCUUAUCGUAAAAUACUUUCCAAACAAAAAAAGAAUAAAAAAAAAUCUAUAUAUAAUGGUGAAAAUAUAAAAUUUAUUAUACUAUUUAUUGAAAGUUGUAUUGAAUUUUUUACUGAUUGUUUGAGUCAACUUUAUACAAGAAGAAU
Molecule: long non-coding RNA, 1700 nt
Filed under: Piliocolobus tephrosceles (Ugandan red Colobus)
Lineage: Eukaryota; Metazoa; Chordata; Mammalia; Primates; Cercopithecidae
Description: lncRNA (ENSPTEG00000009965.1)
Source: RNAcentral